This 245-nucleotide ribosomal RNA is filed under the name uncultured bacterium. RNAcentral describes it as "partial 16S ribosomal RNA". It matches the Rfam family "Bacterial small subunit ribosomal RNA", at positions 524 to 768 of the family's 1533-position model. The record is from RNAcentral.
GACGGAGGAUGCAAGCGUUAUCCGGAAUGAUUGGGCGUAAAGCGUCUGUAGGUGGUUUAUGAAGUCUACUGUCAAAUAUUAGAGCUUAACUCUGAAAAGGCAGUAGAAACUCGUAGACUAGAGUACGGUAGGGGCAGAGGGAAUUCCCGGUGUAGCGGUGAAAUGCGGAGAUAUCGGGAAGAACACCAAUGGCGAAAGCACUCUGUUGGGCCGAAACUGACACUGAGAGACGAAAGCUAGGGGAG